Molecule: ribosomal RNA, 591 nt
Filed under: Salmonella enterica subsp. enterica
Lineage: Bacteria; Pseudomonadati; Pseudomonadota; Gammaproteobacteria; Enterobacterales; Enterobacteriaceae
Description: bacterial LSU rRNA
Rfam family: Bacterial large subunit ribosomal RNA
Source: RNAcentral
GGUAUAGACCCGAAACCCGGUGAUCUAGCCAUGGGCAGGUUGAAGGUUGGGUAACACUAACUGGAGGACCGAACCGACUAAUGUUGAAAAAUUAGCGGAUGACCUGUGGCUGGGGGUGAAAGGCCAAUCAAACCGGGAGAUAGCUGGUUCUCCCCGAAAGCUAUUUAGGUAGCGCCUCGUGAAUUCAUCUCCGGGGGUAGAGCACUGUUUCGGCUAGGGGGCCAUCCCGGCUUACCAACCCGAUGCAAACUGCGAAUACCGGAGAAUGUUAUCACGGGAGACACACGGCGGGUGCUAACGUCCGUCGUGAAGAGGGAAACAACCCAGACCGCCAGCUAAGGUCCCAAAGUCAUGGUUAAGUGGGAAACGAUGUGGGAAGGCCCAGACAGCCAGGAUGUUGGCUUAGAAGCAGCCAUCAUUUAAAGAAAGCGUAAUAGCUCACUGGUCGAGUCGGCCUGCGCGGAAGAUGUAACGGGGCUAAACCAUGCACCGAAGCUGCGGCAGCGACACUGUGUGUUGUUGGGUAGGGGAGCGUUCUGUAAGCCUGUGAAGGUGUGUCGUGAGGCAUGCUGGAGGUAUCAGAAGUGCGAA